Molecule: ribosomal RNA, 2641 nt
Filed under: Streptococcus pneumoniae
Lineage: Bacteria; Bacillati; Bacillota; Bacilli; Lactobacillales; Streptococcaceae
Description: bacterial LSU rRNA
Rfam family: Bacterial large subunit ribosomal RNA
Source: RNAcentral
GGGCAAACCGAAGAGUUUACUCUUCGGGGUUGUAGGACUGCAAUGUGGACUCAAAGAUUAUAGAAGAAUGAUUUGGGAAGAUCAGCCAAAGAGAGUAAUAGCCUCGUAUUUAAAAUAGUCUUUGUACCUAGCAGUAUCCUGAGUACGGCGGGACACGUGAAAUCCCGUCGGAAUCUGGGAGGACCAUCUCCCAACCCUAAAUACUCCCUAGUGACCGAUAGUGAACCAGUACCGUGAGGGAAAGGUGAAAAGCACCCCGGGAGGGGAGUGAAAUAGAACCUGAAACCGUGUGCCUACAACAAGUUCGAGCCCGUUAAUGGGUGAGAGCGUGCCUUUUGUAGAAUGAACCGGCGAGUUACGUUAUGAUGCGAGGUUAAGUUGAAGAGACGGAGCCGUAGGGAAACCGAGUCUGAAUAGGGCGCCUUAGUAUCAUGACGUAGACCCGAAACCAUGUGACCUACCCAUGAGCAGGUUGAAGGUGCGGUAAGACGCACUGGAGGACCGAACCAGGGCACGUUGAAAAGUGCUUGGAUGACUUGUGGGUAGCGGAGAAAUUCCAAACGAACUUGGAGAUAGCUGGUUCUCUCCGAAAUAGCUUUAGGGCUAGCGUCGACAUUAGAGAUUCUUGGAGGUAGAGCACUGUUUGGGUGAGGGGUCCAUCCCGGAUUACCAAUCUCAGAUAAACUCCGAAUGCCAAUGAAUUAUGGUCGGCAGUCAGACUGCGAGUGCUAAGAUCCGUAGUCGAAAGGGAAACAGCCCAGACCACCAGCUAAGGUCCCAAAAUAAUUGUUAAGUGGAAAAGGAUGUGGGGUUGCACAGACAACUAGGAUGUUAGCUUAGAAGCAGCUAUUCAUUCAAAGAGUGCGUAAUAGCUCACUAGUCGAGUGACCCUGCGCCGAAAAUGUACCGGGGCUAAAACAAUUUACCGAAGCUGUGGAUACCUUUAUAGGUAUGGUAGGAGAGCGUUCUAUGUGUGAUGAAGGUAUACCGUGAGGAGUGCUGGAACGCAUAGAAGUGAGAAUGCCGGUAUGAGUAGCGAAAGACAGGUGAGAAUCCUGUCCACCGUAAGACUAAGGUUUCCAGGGGAAGGCUCGUCCGCCCUGGGUUAGUCGGGACCUAAGGAGAGACCGAAAGGUGUAUCCGAUGGACAACAGGUUGAUAUUCCUGUACUAGAGUAUGUAGUGAUGGAGGGACGCAGUAGGCUAACUAAAGCAGACGAUUGGAAGAGUCUGUCUAAGCAGUGAGGUGUGAAUUGAGUCAAAUGCUUAAUUCUAUAACAUUGAGCUGUGAUGGGGAGCGAAGUUUAGUAGCGAAGUUAGUGACGUCACACUGCCAAGAAAAGCUUCUAGCGUUUAAACAUACUCUACCCGUACCGCAAACCGACACAGGUAGUCGAGGCGAGUAGCCUCAGGUGAGCGAGAGAACUCUCGUUAAGGAACUCGGCAAAAUGACCCCGUAACUUCGGGAGAAGGGGUGCUGACUUAAAGUCAGCCGCAGUGAAUAGGCCCAAGCAACUGUUUAUCAAAAACACAGCUCUCUGCUAAAUCGUAAGAUGAUGUAUAGGGGGUGACGCCUGCCCGGUGCUGGAAGGUUAAGAGGAGUGCUUAGCGUAAGCGAAGGUAUGAAUUGAAGCCCCAGUAAACGGCGGCCGUAACUAUAACGGUCCUAAGGUAGCGAAAUUCCUUGUCGGGUAAGUUCCGACCCGCACGAAAGGCGUAAUGAUUUGGGCACUGUCUCAACGAGAGACUCGGUGAAAUUUUAGUACCUGUGAAGAUGCAGGUUACCCGCGACAGGACGGAAAGACCCCAUGGAGCUUUACUGCAGUUUGAUAUUGAGUGUCUGUACCACAUGUACAGGAUAGGUAGGAGUCUAAGAGAUCGGGACGCCAGUUUCGAAGGAGACGCUGUUGGGAUACUACCCUUGUGUUAUGGCCACUCUAACCCAGAUAGGUGAUCCCUAUCGGAGACAGUGUCUGACGGGCAGUUUGACUGGGGCGGUCGCCUCCUAAAAGGUAACGGAGGCGCCCAAAGGUUCCCUCAGAAUGGUUGGAAAUCAUUCGCAGAGUGUAAAGGUAUAAGGGAGCUUGACUGCGAGAGCUACAACUCGAGCAGGGACGAAAGUCGGGCUUAGUGAUCCGGUGGUUCCGUAUGGAAGGGCCAUCGCUCAACGGAUAAAAGCUACCCUGGGGAUAACAGGCUUAUCUCCCCCAAGAGUUCACAUCGACGGGGAGGUUUGGCACCUCGAUGUCGGCUCGUCGCAUCCUGGGGCUGUAGUCGGUCCCAAGGGUUGGGCUGUUCGCCCAUUAAAGCGGCACGCGAGCUGGGUUCAGAACGUCGUGAGACAGUUCGGUCCCUAUCCGUCGCGGGCGUAGGAAAUUUGAGAGGAUCUGCUCCUAGUACGAGAGGACCAGAGUGGACUUACCGCUGGUGUACCAGUUGUCUUGCCAAAGGCAUCGCUGGGUAGCUAUGUAGGGAAGGGAUAAACGCUGAAAGCAUCUAAGUGUGAAACCCACCUCAAGAUGAGAUUUCCCAUGAUUAUAUAUCAGUAAGAGCCCUGAGAGAUGAUCAGGUAGAUAGGUUAGAAGUGGAAGUGUGGCGACACAUGUAGCGGACUAAUACUAAUAGCUCGAGGACUUAUCCAA